Molecule: ribosomal RNA, 465 nt
Filed under: uncultured bacterium
Lineage: Bacteria
Description: bacterial SSU rRNA
Rfam family: Bacterial small subunit ribosomal RNA
Source: RNAcentral
CCUACGGGUGGCAGCAGUGGGGAAUAUUGGACAAUGGGCAAAAGCCUGAUCCAGCCAUGCCGCGUGUGUGAAGAAGGUCUUCGGAUUGUAAAGCACUUUAAGUUGGGAGGAAGGGCAGUAAGCUAAUACCUUGCUGUUUUGACGUUACCGACAGAAUAAGCACCGGCUAACUUCGUGCCAGCAGCCGCGGUAAUACGAAGGGUGCAAGCGUUAAUCGGAAUUACUGGGCGUAAAGCGCGCGUAGGUGGUUCAGCAAGUUGGAUGUGAAAGCCCCGGGCUCAACCUGGGAACUGCAUCCAAAACUACUGAGCUAGAGUACGGUAGAGGGUGGUGGAAUUUCCUGUGUAGCGGUGAAAUGCGUAGAUAUAGGAAGGAACACCAGUGGCGAAGGCGACCACCUGGACUGUUACUGACACUGAGGUGCGAAAGCGUGGGGAGCAAACAGGAUUAGAUACCCUCGUAGUC